RNAcentral lists this ribosomal RNA (581 nucleotides) under fungal sp. Its description in RNAcentral is "eukaryotic LSU rRNA". The stretch from base 160 to 313 matches the Rfam family "5.8S ribosomal RNA". The record is from RNAcentral. Lineage: Eukaryota; Fungi.
GACCUGCGGAGGGUCAUUACUGAGUUUUUAACUCUCCAAACCAUGUGAACUUACCACUGUUGCCUCGGUGGUCGGUGCUGGAAACAGUGCUGCCACCGGUGGACUACUAAACUCUUGUUAAUUUUUGUCAAAUCUGAAUCAAACUAAGAAAUAAGUUAAAACUUUCAACAACGGAUCUCUUGGUUCUGGCAUCGAUGAAGAACGCAGCGAAAUGCGAUAAGUAAUGUGAAUUGCAGAAUUCAGUGAAUCAUCGAAUCUUUGAACGCACAUUGCGCCCAUUAGUAUUCUAGUGGGCAUGCCUGUUCGAGCGUCAUUUCAACCCUUAAGCCUAGCUUAGUGUUGGGAGACUGCCUAAUACGCAGCUCCUCAAAACCAGUGGCGGAGUCUGUUCGUGCUCUGAGCGUAGUAAUUUUUUAUCUCGCUUCUGCAAGCCGGCCAGACGACAGCCAUAAACCGCACCCUCUCGGGGGGCACUUUUUUAAUGGUUGACCUCGGAUCAGGUAGGAAUACCCGCUGAACUUAAGCAUAUCAAUAAGCGGAGGAAAAGAAACCAACAGGGAUUGCCCUAGUAACGGCGAGUG